CGCACUGGAAGGCGCGUUGGUUCCUGUCUUAGGACAGGCGAAGAGGGAAUGCGAUAGGCCUUUGGCCCCAAACGGGACCGGGUUGAAACGCAGCCGCCCCCGCGACCGUGACCGGAAAGGUCGCCUGAUCACUGGCUCUGUUGCGCCGGGAAGAUGGGCAGACCGCCGGGGCAACCGCCCUGAUAUCCGCAAGCCGGGAGACCUGCCAACACACGGAUUUGAAC
RNAcentral lists this non-coding RNA (224 nucleotides) under Actibacterium atlanticum. Lineage: Bacteria; Pseudomonadati; Pseudomonadota; Alphaproteobacteria; Rhodobacterales; Roseobacteraceae. The record is from RNAcentral.